Non-coding RNA from Xylaria acuta, 126 nucleotides. NCBI's taxonomy places the organism in Eukaryota, Fungi, Ascomycota, Sordariomycetes, Xylariales, Xylariaceae. The record is from the annotation of a GenBank genome assembly.
UCCGAAUUGGUGUAGUGGCUAACAUUUGACGCUCUCAUCUGCCUCGUUGUUCCUAACCCUCAUCUGAGGUGUAGGAAGGGGGGUAUCGGUGCCGUCAAGCCCGGGGUUCGAUUCCCCGAUUCGGAG